This 247-nucleotide ribosomal RNA is filed under the name uncultured bacterium. RNAcentral's name for it is "partial 16S ribosomal RNA". It matches the Rfam family "Bacterial small subunit ribosomal RNA", at positions 1253 to 1500 of the family's 1533-position model. The record is from RNAcentral.
AACCGCGAGGUGGAGCAAAUCCCUAAAAGCCAUCCCAGUUCGGAUCGCAGGCUGCAACCCGCCUGCGUGAAGUUGGAAUCGCUAGUAAUCGCGGAUCAGCAUGCCGCGGUGAAUACGUUCCCGGGCCUUGUACACACCGCCCGUCACACCAUGAGAGUCGGGAACACCCGAAGUCCGUAGCCUAACUGCAAAGGGGGCGCGGCCGAAGGUGGGUUCGAUAAUUGGGGUGAAGUCGUAACAAGGUACC